AUUGAACGCUGGCGGAAUGCUUUACACAUGCAAGUCGAACGGCAGCACGGGUGCUUGCACCUGGUGGCGAGUGGCGAACGGGUGAGUAACAUAUCGGAACGUACCCAGUAAUGGGGGAUAACUAGUCGAAAGAUUAGCUAAUACCGCAUACGCCCUGAGGGGGAAAGCGGGGAUCGUAAGACCUCGCGUUAUUGGAGCGGCCGAUAUCUGAUUAGCUAGUUGGUGGGGUAAAGGCCUACCAAGGCGACGAUCAGUAGCUGGUCUGAGAGGACGACCAGCCACACUGGAACUGAGACACGGUCCAGACUCCUACGGGAGGCAGCAGUGGGGAAUUUUGGACAAUGGGCGCAAGCCUGAUCCAGCCAUUCCGCGUGAGUGAAGAAGGCCUCGGGUUGAUAAGCUUCUUUCGCAAGGGAAGAAACGAUACGAGCGAAUAACUCGUGUUAAUGACGGUACCUUGAUAAGAAGCACCGGCUAACUACGUGCCAGCAGCCGCGGUAAUACGUAGGGUGCGAGCGUUAAUCGGAAUUACUGGGCGUAAAGCGUGCGCAGGCGGUUUUGUAAGUCAGAUGUGAAAUCCCCGGGCUCAACCUGGGAACUGCGUUUGAAACUACAAGGCUAGAGUAUAGGAGAGGGGGGUAGAAUUUCCCACGUGUAGCAGUGAAAUGCGUAGAGAUGUGGAGG
This 684-nucleotide ribosomal RNA is filed under the name uncultured bacterium. Its description in RNAcentral is "bacterial SSU rRNA". It matches the Rfam family "Bacterial small subunit ribosomal RNA", at positions 28 to 704 of the family's 1533-position model. The record is from RNAcentral.